Molecule: ribosomal RNA, 1355 nt
Filed under: uncultured bacterium
Lineage: Bacteria
Description: bacterial SSU rRNA
Rfam family: Bacterial small subunit ribosomal RNA
Source: RNAcentral
AUUGAACGCUGGCGGCAGGCUUAACACAUGCAAGUCGAACGAUGACUCUCUAGCUUGCUAGAGAAGAUUAGUGGCGGACGGGUGAGUAACAUUUAGGAAUCUGCCUAGUAGUGGGGGAUAGCUCGGGGGAACUCGAAUUAAUACCGCAUACGACCUACGGGUGAAAGGGGGCGCAAGCUCUUGCUAUUAGAUGAGCCUAAAUCAGAUUAGCUAGUUGGUGGGGUAAAGGCCCACCAAGGCGACGAUCUGUAACUGGUCUGAGAGGAUGAUCAGUCACACCGGAACUGAGACACGGUCCGGACUCCUACGGGAGGCAGCAGUGGGGAAUAUUGGACAAUGGGGGCAACCCUGAUCCAGCCAUGCCGCGUGUGUGAAGAAGGCCUUUUGGUUGUAAAGCACUUUAAGCAGGGAGGAGAGGCUAAUGGUUGAUACCCAUUAGAUUAGACGUUACCUGCAGAAUAAGCACCGGCUAACUCUGUGCCAGCAGCCGCGGUAAUACAGAGGGUGCGAGCGUUAAUCGGAAUUACUGGGCGUAAAGCGAGUGUAGGUGGCUCAUUAAGUCACAUGUGAAAUCCCCGGGCUUAACCUGGGAACUGCAUGUGAUACUGGUGGUGCUAGAAUAUGUGAGAGGGAAGUAGAAUUCCAGGUGUAGCGGUGAAAUGCGUAGAGAUCUGGAGAAAUACCGAUGGCGAAGGCAGCUUCCUGGCAUAAUAUUGACACUGAGAUUCGAAAGCGUGGGUAGCAAACAGGAUUAGAUACCCUGGUAGUCCACGCCGUAAACGAUGUCUACUAGCCGUUGGGGUCCUUGAGACUUUAGUGGCGCAGUUAACGCGAUAAGUAGACCGCCUGGGGAGUACGGCCGCAAGGUUAAAACUCAAAUGAAUUGACGGGGGCCCGCACAAGCGGUGGAGCAUGUGGUUUAAUUCGAUGCAACGCGAAGAACCUUACCUGGUCUUGACAUAGUGAGAAUCUUUCAGAGAUGAGAGAGUGCCUUCGGGAAUUCACAUACAGGUGCUGCAUGGCUGUCGUCAGCUCGUGUCGUGAGAUGUUGGGUUAAGUCCCGCAACGAGCGCAACCCUUUUCCUUAUUUGCCAGCGGGUUAAGCCGGGAACUUUAAGGAUACUGCCAGUGACAAACUGGAGGAAGGCGGGGACGACGUCAAGUCAUCAUGGCCCUUACGACCAGGGCUACACACGUGCUACAAUGGUAGGUACAGAGGGUUGCUACACAGCGAUGUGAUGCUAAUCUCAAAAAGCCUAUCGUAGUCCGGAUUGGAGUCUGCAACUCGACUCCAUGAAGUCGGAAUCGCUAGUAAUCGCAGAUCAGAAUGCUGCGGUGAAUACGUUCCCGGGCCU